ACGCUUACCCCAUGUUCUGCUGAUGUACUCAGCAACAUGCCCAGGUAGUCCAGGUCUUUGAGACUACGUGCGGUGUCAGCCGCAUGACCUGCCCGUUCGCCAGCAUCAUUUUUGCGAACACCCAUCAGCCGGUUUCGGUGGUGGCGAUGC
This is a non-coding RNA of Aedes aegypti (yellow fever mosquito), 150 nucleotides long. Lineage: Eukaryota; Metazoa; Arthropoda; Insecta; Diptera; Culicidae. The record is from Rfam.